AACGAACGCUGGCGGCAGGCCUAAAACAUGCAAGUCGAACGCUCUAGCAAUAGAGAGUGGCGCACGGGUGAGUAACACGUGGGAAUGUGCCUUUUGGUACGGAACAACUUUUGGAAACGAAAGCUAAUACCGUAUGGUCCCUUCGGGGUAAAGAUUUAUCGCCAAAAGAGCAGCCCGCGUCUGAUUAGCUAGUUGGUGAGGUAAUGGCUCACCAAGGCGACGAUCAGUAGCNGGUCUGAGAGGACGAUCAGCCACACUGGGACUGAGACACGGCCCAGACUCCUACGGGAGGCAGCAGUGGGGAAUAUUGGACAAUGGGCGCAAGCCUGAUCCAGCGAUGCCGCGUGUGUGAAGAAGGCCUGCGGGUUGUAAAGCACUUUCAGUAGGGAAG
RNAcentral lists this ribosomal RNA (391 nucleotides) under uncultured bacterium. RNAcentral describes it as "bacterial SSU rRNA". It matches the Rfam family "Bacterial small subunit ribosomal RNA", at positions 29 to 447 of the family's 1533-position model. The record is from RNAcentral.